Xiphophorus maculatus (southern platyfish) is the source of this 1806-nucleotide long non-coding RNA. RefSeq lists it as uncharacterized. The transcript is spliced from 3 exons. The record is from RefSeq and is a predicted model, not a curated record. NCBI's taxonomy places the organism in Eukaryota, Metazoa, Chordata, Actinopteri, Cyprinodontiformes, Poeciliidae.
UGACCUUUGACCCAGUUUCUGUCAGAAGCUGAAAACAUGAAAAGCUUCAGCCAUCCAGCCAACAUCAGCUCCACCUUAAAUAUUUUAAACGAGUCGUUUUUAUUGUCACUUUGGGGAAAAGGUGCAGCAGCCAUUAUGUCCUGUAACACUUGUGGUAAAUUUCAAAUCUUCUUCCUGAAACAAAACAACAGUGACUCAUUUCAAAACAAUAACUGCAUGAAUUCCUUUAUGAUUAAAUGAAGAGCAGAGUUCCUGAAGCUCAGCAGGAAAAAGGUUCAAACAAACAGAGGAGUGAGUCAAACCUGCCCAGGUUUAUUAUUAGCAAACCAUCUUUUCCUUUUGCCUGAAAGGAAAAGCUUUCAGGCGUUUCUCUGAAGGAAGUGGUUCUGCGGCUCAGUGGACCCAACCGGAGCUUAUCAGAGGAUCCUGGACGUCUGCCAGACAAAUCGCUGCUUUCCUCUGGGCUCACACACCAAAACAGGGUUAACACACAAAACGGACGUGUUUUAUGAGUUAAUUAUGGAGUAAAGAAGGUCAAUUAUUAUGUGAAAGGAGCUUUGCAGGGAAGUUUUCCAGCAACCUGAAGGUCGGACACUGAGGAACAAAAACAUCCAUCGCUGAUUCCCAUCAUGACUCACCUCAGGCUUCCUCAUAUUUCUCCAUAAACGCUGUUGAUGACAGCAGACUCCUGUGGGGUCAUGACCUCCUGUGCGGUCAUGACCUCCAACACACUGAAUCCCGCGCUGAUGACCUGGACGUGGAAACCCAGCAGGAGAACCAAGCGAUGCAGCUUGAAUGUUUCCUGUCCAGGUGAUUUUCUGCAGCUACAAAAUACCAGGAGGAAAAUCACACGUUCAUCAGUCAGAGACGAGCAAACAUCUUCAUGGUGGACUCAACCAGAACAUCUGGGUUUGAAACCGACAACCUGCUGCAGGAGGAGAUCUGAGCAACCGGAGCUGAUCGGUUUCCUGCGUCUUCAGAAGAUCUGGGUUCACCUGCAGCGUUCAGACACCCAGCUGUGAUGAUUAAAGUCUGUUUCUAAAGGUUCACAGAAACCUUCAGUGAAAAUCUCAUUUCUGAUGGGUUGCCAGGUUGAACACAGAGACGCAUUGUUCCAACAUCUGGGGAAGUUUUAUUUGUCUUCAGGAGAAACCAGGCGAAUGCUCAGAAACACCAGGAACUUUCAGAAGCAGAAGCAUAAAUUAGGUUUCUGUUCCCUGGUCUUACUGUAACAGACGUGAUGCAAGAAGCUGCUGCUAAGCUAACGAUCAGGCUUCAGUCCAACUGAACAGGAAACUCACUUUCUGCCUCCCGGCGACAAACGAAGCCGGUUCUGCAGCUCAGGAGAGGCGGACAGAUCAAACAUCCAGGCCCUCAAUGUUUGAGCUCUGGCGCUAACAAUUUAGCGCAUUAGCGUUAGCUUCCAGUAAUGUUUUCAUGCGACUAUAUGAUUAUAUGAUUCUUGUUUAGUGAUUUAUUGGUUAUUGAACGUCACUUUUUAGUAAGUGGUGGCUAAUAACUGCUUUACAGUCAGAAAAUGGAAACAAGAUCAAGAAAACAUGCAUGAUUUCUAUAUGCAUGGUUUGAAAUAUGUAGACCAUAAUCUGACACAAACACAUUCACCCAGUUCUCCAUUUUAAUGCAAAAAUAAAAUUUUCAUAACCAUUUUUCUAUUUUAUAAUCGCAUUGUAUUUUAUGAUUGUGUAUAGCACUUUGGUCCUGUUGGUGUAUAAAGUGCUUCAUAAUAAAGUUGGUAUGGUAACCAUGUCGGACAUCUUAAAAAAUCAGUAUCAGUAAAUAUGAUUU